This 947-nucleotide long non-coding RNA is filed under the name Fukomys damarensis (Damara mole-rat). RNAcentral describes it as "lncRNA (ENSFDAG00000022367.1)". The record is from RNAcentral. Lineage: Eukaryota; Metazoa; Chordata; Mammalia; Rodentia; Bathyergidae.
AGAUCUACAGGGCCCGGUGUUCUUGCUUCCACCCACCCGGCAAAACUCACCUCAUCUUACAUGAGAGGAUGCCUGGCGACAACAGAAGCCAGCUCCUGCUGCCACAGGUAGACCAAGGGCCCACCUGGCAAGAGCCACCCAGGGCCAGGGGCCCCAGGCCACAUCCGCAAAAUGCUGAGAGAAUGCUGGGUUCACAUCACACUCAAUCUUGGCAAGCAGUUAUCUCUCCUGCAAAUCCUGCCAGAGCAUUUAUGUUCUGUGCCUUCCAGUGACCAGCUCAGUGCUCUGCAGCCACAGCUGAAGUGGCUGAGAUGCACUGGCGAUGAGCUGCGUGCCUCAGGUGAAAGCUGAGUGGCCUCUGGUGUCUGACACGCCUCGCUGAAGCCAUCCGCAGUCAAGGGACGGUUUCAGCUGGAGCCAGUGUCUGUGUUGGUGCCCACAGAUACCUUAAAGGCAGGCACCACCCCAGUGCGACCUCCUGGGUGGUCGCCCCUCGCAUCCAGCUCAAAUCCAGCUCCGGUGCCCUGGCAUGCUGCAAGGUCCUGCCAGCUCGGAGGCUGGCACCUGGGCAAUGCCCAGCAGUGGGAGCCGAGAGAUAAGCCUGUGAGUGGACUGCUUUGCGCCAGGCCAGCAACUGGGAGGAAGGCAGAAAUCCUCCUUGGUGGGUUACUUGAGGACAGAAGUGACACCGCUAGUGGUGGGUGCAGGCUAGGAGCCACUCUCUGUGCUCUGCUGGCAGUUUUCCUGGCAACCAAGAGGGGCAGGGAGACUGCAACACUCCCGCAGCUUAGUGAGGGCUCAGGAACUCGAGACCACUGAGCCCUAGUGCCAGCUGGGCUGCUAAGCCUGAACCUGCCAGAGAAAGGGAAACCUUUGCCUUUGGGGUUCAUGGAAGGGGCCCCAGUGGAAGGCCCUUGACAGCUGAGAGGCCUUUAUGUGACGCCCUC